UGAAAACGUUGCUAUUGUAAAAGCGUUCUGGCGUCGAACAUGAUGCGUUCAAAUUUACCAUUUCCCCCCGAACGCCAUGUGUUCGAAACAUGCCCGCGUACAUAACAGCGCGUGACGUAUUUAAUGUACCGGAAGUUUGGUUUUUGAUCGUGAUUGAAGAAGCUUCACUGAAGAAAAUUACAGCAAAGCUUGAUUUAAUAGGGUACAAACACAACUACAGUACUGAGAGGUAAUUGUUCGUGCAUACCUCGCCGAGAAUGAAGAGAAAAUUUCGCAGUUCAAGAGAUGACUACUUAUCCUGCACCAUAAAAGUACUUUCAUAUAACUCACAGUUGAUGGAUAACAAGGUUAAAGAGUAGUUAUAACCCAAGGAGAAGAAUGUUCUAAAAAAUGGAAGCUCAAAAGACGAAUGUUCUAAAAAAUGGCAGCUCAAAAUCAGUUGUAGACGACUCAAAUCAUGUUCAAAAGUACCUAAGGUAGCAGUGUUACAUGAACACCGACUCGACUAGUAGCAGCAUAUACACAGGGUAUUUUAUGUUUGAUAUUGACUAUCUGAGUGCUAUGAAAGCUGUGGAUCAUCGAAAAUAUUGGUGACAAACGAGUCAUUGACAGGACAGUGCUUGACUUGAGAAGUUGCAAACGAUG
This is a long non-coding RNA of Mytilus trossulus (common blue mussel), 645 nucleotides long. RefSeq lists it as uncharacterized. The record is from RefSeq and is a predicted model, not a curated record. NCBI's taxonomy places the organism in Eukaryota, Metazoa, Mollusca, Bivalvia, Mytilida, Mytilidae. The transcript is spliced from 3 exons.